UAGGGAAUCUUCCGCAAUGGACGCAAGUCUGACGGAGCAACGCCGCGUGAGUGAAGAAGGAUUUCGGUUCGUAAAACUCUGUUGUUAGAGAAGAACAGCGCAUAGAGUAACUGUUAUGCGUGUGACGGUAUCUAACCAGAAAGCCACGGCUAACUACGUGCCAGCAGCCGCGGUAAUACGUAGGUGGCAAGCGUUGUCCGGAUUUAUUGGGCGUAAAGCGAGCGCAGGCGGUUAGAAAAGUCUGAAGUGAAAGGCAGUGGCUCAACCAUUGUAGGCUUUGGAAACUGUUUAACUUGAGUGCAGAAGGGGAGCGUGGAAUUCCAUGUGUAGCGGUGAAAUGCGUAGCUAUAUGUAGGAACACCGGUGGCGAAUGCGGCUCUCUGGUCUGUAACUGACGCUGAGGCUCGAAAGCGUGGGGAGCGAACAGG
RNAcentral lists this ribosomal RNA (428 nucleotides) under Bacteroidota bacterium. Its description in RNAcentral is "Bacteroidetes bacterium partial 16S ribosomal RNA". It matches the Rfam family "Bacterial small subunit ribosomal RNA", at positions 355 to 776 of the family's 1533-position model. The record is from RNAcentral. Lineage: Bacteria; Pseudomonadati; Bacteroidota.